CCGAUUGUUGUUCUCUUCUUUCUUUUUUUCUCACUCUUUACUUCAUUCACCAUACUACACAUCCCAUCCGUCCCUCCAUCUAUAUUCUACUAUCCUCCAACCGUUCAUGAUCCUGCCAUAAUUGGCCACACUCUCGUCACCAUCACUCUUCUUAAACGGCGGGAGUUUGCUAUAGCGGCGUUUGUCGUUAGCUCGGCUGCGGUACGACAUCUCAGCCAUAUUAUACCUUCCUUCUUUCCUACCUGUUUUGCUGUAGUAGACACAAGCCAUAAACUACUCAAAUCAGAUAUGACGAAACAACGAAGGUGGCCAGUAUACCGUUGGGAUAACCCCCCUUUCGUCACAAAACCAAGUAAUCCAUAGCUUUGGCAAAUCGAUCAUGGGUUUUUAGCCCUAUUAUUAUUAUAACGCCAGUCAUUCUACGAUUGAUCAGACAGUUAUGACGCUUCUUCCUUAGGUCCGAACAGCUCUGGCCAGCCUGUUGGAUCCAAUAUCGGACCUCCUCUCGGUUUUUUGGAAGACUUUUGCGACUUUGUUCUCGCUAUCGAUUUGCCACUAGGUACAGCUGAUUUGAAGCUUGGUGCAACAAAUGUACGAGGAGAUUGAGAAUCCUUUUGCGGUAGCUGGCCAACGAAUUCAUAAGGGUCAAACGGCUACAAUUCAUUCAGCGACACUCUAAAGUGGAAGAGAAGUAAUGUUGGUGUUGGCGAUGCAACCGGUGACAAAUCUCCGUACCCAUUGCUAAAAUUAUGGCUUGGCGGCUGGGAAGAAACAUUCUUUUGGCACACAUAUUAGUUUUCCUAACAGAUCUCGAAAAACACUCACCUCAAAGACAUAGCUAUCAACAGUUAUCACCCUUACGCUUCUUUCUUCCUCAUCUUUCUGUCUUUUCUUGUAUGAAAAGCUCUUAAAGGCCGAGCUAAGCCCGGCAAGACGGUUACUUAUAAGGCCAAAUUCCCCAGGACCGCCAGUGUCAGAUGGCUUCAGACCGACAUUGCUUUGGGUGUCGAUAAUCGACUGGAGACGGUGACGAUAGGUCAAAGGAUUGAGAAUAGAGAUAAGUGAUAAUGCGGGCAGGCAUUGCAUUAUGGUUCUGCCAAUGUUUCCUGGAGAAAAUGUUAGAUCCUUCAUGUUUGGCCACUAUAGACACAGGUAGCCUGGAUUCGUCAAUAAAACGUCAACCAUCCAUAAUAACAUUCGGCUUAGGCCUUUUUGCUCGCCAAACUGUUUGCAUUGCCUUACCAAAAAAUAGUUUCCUGUUUCGCUAAAUCAGCGCGAAGAUAUAGGUAACAGAUGUCUACGUACUUGAGCACCAUGUCGUGAGGUACAUUCCUGCCAAUAGUCCGGCCCAACAUUUAUACAAGGCACCGUGAACAAGAGCUCUGUCAAUUUCGAACCCGUUAUUGAUAUCUUGUCGGAGUGUUUAGCUGAAAGUGAGACAUACGACAAAACCAGCCCCCAUGAAGCCAGCACUCCCAAUGCCAGUGGACCACAGACAUAGAAUCUCGUGGCGCCAGAUAUCUGCCCCAUCUCUGUCAAUGACACUCCACAACUAUAAUCACCACCAAAAAUUCAGAAGUCGCAUACCUUCCACACUUUGCAAAUAGCGUGAAUUAACCCAGCGCCUCCCAAUGCUCCUGCAAUGCCGAAGAUUACCAAGUUGCUUAUAUUGUCUACUGCGGAAACAGUCAGGUAGUCAUCCGAUUCAGAUAUUAAUCUGUGAAUUUGGAUGCAUGCUAUUGCGAGGACAGCUCUGAAACGCAUCAUCUUUGUACCAAGGGUACUGGAUCUCUCAGUGAAUAGACCUCCAGAUAUCGCCGUGCUUGCGAGAUCAGGAUUCCUAACAAUAUACAUUGGAAAACAAGUCCCAAAACGGAGCACCACUGAUAAUUAGGAGUCGAAGAUAAAGCUUGCCAAAGGAGAAGAUUGAGGCAGAUUCUCGGUUUGACAGAAGAGGAAAACUCAAUUUUACAGAUGGCGUCUCUGGACUUACAUCAUCUAUCAAGCAUGAUUUUAUAAUUUUGAGCUGGUCAGCUACCCUUCAGCAAAGACCUACGCAGACUUCAAGGCCUAAGAAGUCUAUCUCGUUUACCGCGAUAAUGGGAGCGGUGUAGGGCUUUGCAUCGGCCAUUCCUCGGGAUUUUCUCCCUGUGUAAGACCAUACAUGAUCCGUCCAAAGUGUGGUUAUGGAGUGGUACUUGUGUAGGCCGUUUGUGUAGAGCCGGAACCACAUCCUUCCCAUCAACAUUCAGUAUUAACGAUUCAAGCAAGGAAGAAAGAAAAUAGGGGGAUAAUGGUUCAGAAUGCCAUAUGAGUUUGAGUAGGAGAAAGGGCGCAGGAUCCCUGAGGCCAAGGGGUAUCAGUAAAAUAAUAUAAUUUGCAGUUUGAUGGGAGAUGGGAGAUGAGAGAUCAGCCAAACUUUGAAGGCCGAAACCAAACUUCUACCGCAGGGCUCCAUCGUGGAUCGCUUUCUCACAUUGCUUGCAUGAAUAAACGUCAG
Molecule: small RNA, 2500 nt
Filed under: Cryptococcus neoformans H99
Lineage: Eukaryota; Fungi; Basidiomycota; Tremellomycetes; Tremellales; Cryptococcaceae
Description: Cryptococcus neoformans var. grubii H99 hypothetical RNA
Source: RNAcentral